GAUUGAACAUAUGAAAGCAACAUUGUUCACUCGAUACAUUCUUCCAAAAGUAAAAUUGUAAUUUCCUGCUUGUGGCCUUAAGGGUUGGGUCUACGAGCCUCAACUUACAUGAUAUUAUA
Small nucleolar RNA from Cryptomeria japonica (Japanese cedar), 119 nucleotides. RefSeq annotates it as small nucleolar RNA snoR104. The record is from RefSeq and is a predicted model, not a curated record. The transcript has a single exon. Lineage: Eukaryota; Viridiplantae; Streptophyta; Pinopsida; Cupressales; Cupressaceae.